GUUGAGGGGAAUGGUGGCUGGUUCAAGGCUUCAAAAGAGAGUUUCUUAAGAAAUAAGAAACAAUUAUUAAUCUCUCUCUAAAGAUAGCUUUGGACCAGGCUUCCUUCCUCUCAAA
Molecule: microRNA precursor, 115 nt
Organism: Citrus x clementina
Lineage: Eukaryota; Viridiplantae; Streptophyta; Magnoliopsida; Sapindales; Rutaceae
Rfam family: mir-166 microRNA precursor family
About the family: This family represents the plant microRNA (miRNA) precursor mir-166. Animal miRNAs are transcribed as ~70nt precursors and subsequently processed by the Dicer enzyme to give a ~22nt product.
Source: Rfam